Molecule: non-coding RNA, 23 nt
Filed under: Arabidopsis thaliana (thale cress)
Lineage: Eukaryota; Viridiplantae; Streptophyta; Magnoliopsida; Brassicales; Brassicaceae
Source: RNAcentral
GUAGGCGACCUAUCAAAUUUCUA